AACCUUCAAAUGGGCGCAGAACAACUGGGCUUGCCCUAUUAGCGGCGAGUGAAGCGGCAACAGCUCAAAUUUGAAAUCUGGCUCUUUCCGAGUCCGAGUUGUAAUUUGCAGAGGGCGCUUUGGCUUUGGCAGCGGUCCAAGUUCCUUGGAACAGGACGUCACAGAGGGUGAGAAUCCCGUACGUGGUCGCUAGCUAUUGCCGUGUAAAGCCCCUUCGACGAGUCGAGUUGUUUGGGAAUGCAGCUCUAAAUGGGAGGUAAAUUUCUUCUAAAGCUAAAUAUUGGCCAGAGACCGAUAGCGCACAAGUAGAGUGAUCGAAAGAUGAAAAGCACUUUGGAAAGAGAGUCAAACAGCACGUGAAAUUGUUGAAAGGGAAGCGCUUGCAGCCAGACUUGCUUGCAGUUGCUCAUCCGGGCUUUUGCCCGGUGCACUCUUCUGUAGGCAGGCCAGCAUCAGUUUGGGCGGUGGGAUAAAGGUCUCUGUCACGUACCUCUCUUCGGGGAGGCCUUAUAGGGGAGACGACAUACCACCAGCCUAGACUGAUCUAUGCGAGUGUUUGGGUGUCAAGCCCGAGCGCGUAAUGAAAGUGAACGGAGGUGGGAACCCGCAAGGGUGCACCAUCGACCGAUCCUGAAGUUUACGGAAGGAUUUGAGUAAGAGCAUGGCUGUUGGGACCCGAAAGAUGGUGAACUAUGCUUGAAUAGGGUGAAGCCAGAGGAAACUCUGGUGGAGGCUCGCAGCGGUUCUGACGUGCAAAUCGAUCGUCAAAUUUGGGCAUAGGGGCGAAAGACUAAUCGAAACUAUCUAGUAGCUGGUUCCUGCCGAAGUUUCCCCUCAGGAAA
RNAcentral lists this ribosomal RNA (842 nucleotides) under Bipolaris sorokiniana. RNAcentral's name for it is "LSU rRNA". It matches the Rfam family "Eukaryotic large subunit ribosomal RNA", at positions 37 to 980 of the family's 3401-position model. Lineage: Eukaryota; Fungi; Ascomycota; Dothideomycetes; Pleosporales; Pleosporaceae. The record is from RNAcentral.